CCUAGAGUUGUAGGCCUUGCCUGCUAUCUCUUACCCAUGUCUUUUGAGUACUUACGUUUCCUCGGCGGGUCCGCCCGCCGAUUGGACAAUUUAAACCACUUGCAGUUGCAAUCAGCGUCUGAAAAACUUUAAUAGUUA
RNAcentral lists this unclassified non-coding RNA (138 nucleotides) under soil metagenome. Its description in RNAcentral is "partial internal transcribed spacer 1". The record is from RNAcentral.